RNAcentral lists this ribosomal RNA (436 nucleotides) under uncultured bacterium. RNAcentral describes it as "bacterial SSU rRNA". It matches the Rfam family "Bacterial small subunit ribosomal RNA", at positions 355 to 787 of the family's 1533-position model. The record is from RNAcentral.
UAAGGAAUAUUGGUCAAUGGACGGAAGUCUGAACCAGCCAUGCCGCGUGCAGGAGGACGGCCCUAUGGGUUGUAAACUGCUUUUAUACGGGAACAAACGUCGGUACGAGUACCGGUCUGAGUGUACCGUAAGAAUAAGGAUCGGCUAACUCCGUGCCAGCAGCCGCGGUAAUACGGAGGAUCCGAGCGUUAUCCGGAAUUAUUGGGUUUAAAGGGUGCGUAGGCGGCCAGAUAAGUCAGGGGUGAAAGUCGGCAGCUCAACUGUCGCAGUGCCUUUGAUACUGGUGUGCUUGAAUGCGGAUGAGGUAGGCGGAAUGUGGCAAGUAGCGGUGAAAUGCAUAGAUAUGCCACAGAACACCGAUUGCGAAGGCAGCUUACCAAGGCGUAAUUGACGCUGAUGCACGAAAGCGUGGGGGAUCGAACAGGAUUAGAUACCC